UACGGAGGGUGCAAGCGUUGUCCGGAAUCACUGGGCGUAAAGGGCGCGUAGGCGGCUCAUGAAGGCUGUGGUGAAAGUCCGGGGCUCAACCUCGGAUCGGCCGUGGCGACUCGUGGGCUGGAGCACUGUAGAGGCGGGUGGAAUUCCGGGUGUAGCGGUGGAAUGCGUAGAGAUCCGGAGGAACACCGACGGCGUAGGCAGCGCCCUGGACGACACCUGACGCUGAGGCACGAAAGCUGGGGGAGCGAACAGG
This 253-nucleotide ribosomal RNA is filed under the name uncultured bacterium. RNAcentral describes it as "partial 16S ribosomal RNA". It matches the Rfam family "Bacterial small subunit ribosomal RNA", at positions 524 to 776 of the family's 1533-position model. The record is from RNAcentral.